Molecule: ribosomal RNA, 1251 nt
Filed under: uncultured prokaryote
Description: partial 16S ribosomal RNA
Rfam family: Bacterial small subunit ribosomal RNA
Source: RNAcentral
UGGGGGAUAGCCAUCCGAAAGGGUGAUUAAUACCGCAUAUGAUCGAGAGAUCAAAGGUGCCUUCGGGUGCCGCUCUUGGAUGGACUCGCGGCCUAUCAGCUUGUUGGUGAGGUAAAGGCUCACCAAGGCUACGACGGGUAACUGGUCUGAGAGGACGACCAGUCACACUGGAACUGAGACACGGUCCAGACACCUACGGGUGGCAGCAGUCGAGAAUCAUUCGCAAUGGACGAAAGUCUGACGGUGCGACGCCGCGUGGAGGAUGACGCGGCCCUAGGGUUGUAAACUCCUGUCAUCAGAGAGUAAGGUUUUUGGGUUAAUAGCCCGAAAAAUUGAUAGUAUCUGAAGAGGAAGGGACGGCUAACUUCGUGCCAGCAGCCGCGGUAAUACGAAGGUCCCAAGCGUUGUUCGGAUUUACUGGGCGUAAAGAGUACGUAGGCGGUGAGGUAAGUCAGAUGUGAAAGCCCAGGGCUCAACCUUGGAACUGCAUCCGAUACUGCCUCACUUGAGUAAUGGAGGGGCAUCUGGAAUUCACGGUGUAGCAGUGAAAUGCGUAGAUAUCGUGAGGAACACUAGUGGCGAAGGCGAGAUGCUGGACAUUUACUGACGCUGAGGUACGAAGGCCAGGGUAGCGAAAAGGAUUAGAUACCCUUGUAGUCCUGGCAGUAAACGGUGCUCGCUUGGUGUGGGGAGGUUCGACCCUCUCCGUGCCGGAGCUAACGCGUUAAGCGAGCCGCCUGGGGAGUACGGCCGCAAGGCUAAAACUCAAAGAAAUUGACGGGGACCCGCACAAGCGGUGGAGUAUGUGGCUUAAUUCGAUGCAACGCGAAGAACCUUACCUGGGCUUGACAUGCUUAUCAUAUCCCUGUGAAAGCAGGGAGUCAGUUCGGCUGGAUUUGCACAGGUGCUGCAUGGCUGUCGUCAGCUCGUGUCGUGAGAUGUUGGGUUAAGUCCCGCAACGAGCGCAACCCUUGUGUCCUGUUGCCAGCGAGUAAUGUCGGGGACUCUGGACAGACUGCCGUGCUUAAACCGGAGGAAGGUGGGGAUGACGUCAAGUCAGUAUGGCCCUUAUGCCCAGGGCUGCACACGUACUACAAUGCUCAGUACAAUGUGAACCGAUACCGCGAGGUGGAGGAAAUCCUGAAAACUGAGCUCAGUUCGGAUUGGAGGCUGCAACUCGCCUCCAUGAAGUCGGAAUCGCUAGUAAUGCCGUAUCAGCUACGACGGCGUGAAUACGUUCCCGGGUCUUGU